RNAcentral lists this ribosomal RNA (293 nucleotides) under uncultured bacterium. RNAcentral's name for it is "partial 16S ribosomal RNA". The record is from RNAcentral.
GGACUACCGGGGUAUCUAAUCCCGUUCGCUCCCCUAGCUUUCGCCCCCGAGCGUCAGAAACCAGCCAGGACACUGCCUUCGCCUUUGGUGUUCUUCCAGAUAUCUACGCAUUUCACCACUACACCUGGAGUUCCAUGUCCCUCUCUGGUCCUCGAAGUGCGGCCGUUUUUGCCCACCUGUGCCAGUUAAGCUGGCACCUGUCAGGGCAAACGCACCCCACCGCCUGCGGGCCCUUUACGCCCAGUAACUCCGGACAACACUGGCCCCCUACGUAUUACCGCGGCUGCUGGCAC